Entelurus aequoreus (snake pipefish) is the source of this 494-nucleotide long non-coding RNA. RefSeq lists it as uncharacterized. Lineage: Eukaryota; Metazoa; Chordata; Actinopteri; Syngnathiformes; Syngnathidae. The record is from RefSeq and is a predicted model, not a curated record. The transcript has 3 exons.
CAGUCCCUCCUCGACUCCCUCCACCCCCCUCACCAGCAGCCCUCAACAUGUGGCAGACAGAGGAGCCUGGAUCCAGCCUGGCCUACAGGCCAACAUGGCGAGGGGGAAGAAUGGCCGACAACAUUUCCUGCUCUGCGCCUGAGGUAAUCCAGAUCCUUAGCCUGCUGGAAACUAUUAAGCACAACCAAGACCAGCUGAUUGCGAAGGGCAAGCUGAGCUUCCCUUGCAGUCUUAGAGCAAUCGCCACUGAUAUGAGACCAAGGUGACAAUGUGCUGGCGAGAGAGAUGAGCGCAGGUGUUAAUGAUCUGCACUAUAGCAGGUUUUGGAAAAGUAGGAAUAUUACACCUCUGUUUUAGAAAGACAGGCUGGCAAAUUUCCACCCUUACCUUGGGGAAAAUGUGCCGCCUAAAUAAAAAGGGUAGUAGUCUGGAAAACUGGCGAGGUUUGUUUUGAUCCUUUUUUUGUGUGUGCAUGUGCACUGCGUCCCCACAUA